GCUCAUUAGACGUUUUUGCGACGAGUCCAAAAAUUGUUGCGCAUUGUUGAUAAUAUCGAAGAUUAUUUUAGUCAAUUGAAUGAACAUUAAAACAUUGAUAAGAAUGGAUAAAAUCGUUUGCAUUUGUUUUGUUGCCAUUGCAAUUGUUUCAAGUACAAGUGCAAAAAUUACAAGUGAAAAUAUUAAUUGUACAUAUAUUCCCAUGACCCGUUUUCGUAUUUGUGGUUCCGAUGGUAAAACUUACAAUAAUAAGUUCCGUUUGUGGUGCGAACAAAAGACAGAGUAUGGGAGAAGUGUAAACUUACAAAUAAAACAUCCAUUUCCUUGUUGGAUAUGGGAAGAAUACGGCAUCGACACCUCUACACUUUUAUUUACUCUACUGGGUUUUGUUAUUCUUGGUGUGUGCUUGUGCAUUUGUAGAAAGAAGCGAAGCAUUUGGAAAAAAGAAAAACCAUUUUUGAUAACUGAGCCUGCAUAAUAAUCGGAUGAAAAUGUAUUGAUUCACAAAUUAAAUCUCAAUAAACAAAAAUUUUGAUUUCGAUAUUACCAUU
Contarinia nasturtii (swede midge) is the source of this 551-nucleotide long non-coding RNA. RefSeq lists it as uncharacterized. The record is from RefSeq and is a predicted model, not a curated record. Lineage: Eukaryota; Metazoa; Arthropoda; Insecta; Diptera; Cecidomyiidae. The transcript is spliced from 2 exons.